GCAAGCAGAACACAGGCUGGGGAAAUGAACACCAAAGGUUUUCCAAGAGAAGAUUCUAAGAAGUCGGCCUAGUGGGCAGCAAAUAAGAAGAUGCCCUACAACACAGGGCUCAGGGACCCAAGCUAAAUCUAGGAUCUUCUAGAAGUUAGAAAUGAGAGCAGAAAGGACAUGCAAAGAACAACCGUCAAUACUGACAGUCUGAAAUGCUGAGGCAGAGGGGAGACUCCGAACCCGAGUGGCCACAUAGACAAGUGUAUUUGGCACGAAACCAGCGUUAUGGACAAAUACGGGUUUUGAGGCCAGAGAGACCAGGCUCUGCUGCUUACUAGCUGACGGGCUCUCUGCACUGAGAAACGUGGGAAGAGCAACACUCCAGCAGCAUUCCGUGCACCUAGCGCUCAAAUCACAGUUUCUACGCUCCACUCUCUGUUAAAAGGAACAGGAUUCCCUGGAGAAAUGACUAAUUCCAGAGUUGGGGCAGGGAUAAGAAAAUGGGCCUGGGUCUUUCGUGUCAGAAAGUAAGGAAGCACUUUAAUAAUGGAAACAUGGCAAAAGGACAUGGAGACUUGCUUAAAAAAGCCAAACCUGAAACACUCUGAGCAUCAAAAUAAAUAAUGAUAGUGAAAAGUUAUAACCCAUUGAACAACAUAGGAACCUACGAGCACACACUAAUACAAAUAAAUGAAUGAAAAAAGAAAUGAGACA
Canis lupus familiaris (dog) is the source of this 705-nucleotide long non-coding RNA. RefSeq lists it as uncharacterized. Lineage: Eukaryota; Metazoa; Chordata; Mammalia; Carnivora; Canidae. The transcript has 4 exons. The record is from RefSeq and is a predicted model, not a curated record.